This 357-nucleotide long non-coding RNA is filed under the name Gossypium barbadense (sea-island cotton). RNAcentral's name for it is "long non-coding RNA (GBAR_LNC015060)". Lineage: Eukaryota; Viridiplantae; Streptophyta; Magnoliopsida; Malvales; Malvaceae. The record is from RNAcentral.
AUGAGCGCAGAGCGAGCAUCACCUUCUUCGUAAACACUGGUGCAAUAGUUAUGGAGCUCAAUGACAUGAUCAUGGUCCAUUUCAGCUACUUCAUUCAUGAUGCCUUUGAACCAAUCAAAAGAGCCUUGUUCCCUUGUUACCCAAUAAAAGUAAGCCCUCUUUGUCUUAAAGUUUUCUCUUGUUUUUGGAUUUGGUGGAGAUGGAGAACUCGUUUUAUAAUUUAUGGCAACCCCAUUUUCCAGGGCACUGCUCAGUUCUUCAUCUUCAUCCUCCGCCAUGGAUCUGAUGUUGUGUACAAUGUCCUUGACAAUGCUGAUCAUGGGGGUUGCUCCAAUCCCCAAACCCACUAACAAAACC